AUGGUGCAGCCAGGAAAGCUGUGUAAGGAGCAGAAGUAUGAGCGGCAGCUGAGGUUGGCGGUGAUCAUGGGCAAGAAGCUUUAGAGUCUGCUCACGUUUGCCUAAUAAAUGCAACAGCCACAGGAACUGCAAUUCUUCAUUUAUAAUUAUUGAUGGAAAUCAUGUCAGUGGAGAAGAUGCCGGAAACAAAACUGAGCUCAAGCUGCCGUGGAAUUCUUACAAGAAUGAAAUAACGAUGUCUCUGGAAGUUUUGUGGAAAAGAACCCAGAAAACCUUCUAGACAAUGAUCCUUCAUUUUUCUGUAGGUUUACCAUUGUGGCUGCAACUCAGCUUCCAGAAAGUACGUGCCUUCGUUUAGGAGAUGUCCUAUGGAAUUCCCAAAUCCCUCUUUUGAUCUGCAGGACAUAUGGGUUAGUUGGUUAUAUGAGGAUCAUAAUAAGAGAACAUCCAAUAAUAGAAUCUCAUCCAGAUAAUGCAUUAGAGUAUCUACGACUAGACAAGCCACUUCCUGAACUGAGAGAACAUUUUCAGUCAUAUGAUGUGGAUCAUAUGGAAAAAAAGGACCAUAGCCGUAUUCCAUGGAUUGUGAUCAGAGCUAAAUAUUUAGCACAGUGGUAUAGUGAAACAAAUGGACAGACACCUAAACGUAUAAAGAAAAAGAGGACUUUGGAGAUUUGAUUAGACAAGGAAUUCUAAAGAAUGAAAAUGGGGCUUCAGAAGAUGAAGAGAAUUUUGAAGAAGCUAUUAAAAAUGUGAAUACAGCACUAAAUACAACUCGGAUCCCAAGCAGUAUUGAAGAUAUACUUAAUGAUGAUCGCUGCAUAAAUAUCACCAAACAGACUCUGUCAUUUUGGAUUUUAGCUCGUGCCUUAAAGGAAUUUGUGUCCAAGGAAGGUCAAGGAAAUUUGCCUGUUCGGGGCACAGUUCCUGAUAUGAUUGCAGAUUCAAGCAAAUAUAUAAAACUUCAAAAUGUUUGCCGUGAAAAAGCAAAGAAAGAUGCUGCUGCUGUGGGUAGUCAUGUAGCCAGACUGCUGCAGCCCAUUGGCAAGGCACCAGAGUCCAUUUCAGAGAAAGAAUUAAAAUUACUCUGCAGCAAUGCUGCAUUUCUUCGAGUGGUAAGAUGUCGAUCCUUAGCUGAAGAAUAUGGUUUGGACACAGUUAACAAGGAUGAAGUUAUUUCCAGCAUGGACAAUCCAGAUAAUGAAACAGUGUUGUACUUAAUGUUACGCGCUGUUGAUAGAUUUCAUAAACAACACGGUAGAUAUCCAGGGGUAUCUAACUGUCAAGUUGAAGAAGAUAUAGGAAAGAUAAAAGUCUUGUCUCACUGGCUUCCUUCAAGAAUAUGGUUUAUCUGUAAUGGUGAAAGAUGAUUAUGUUCAUGAAUUUUGCUGAUAUGGAGCUGCUGAGCCACAUACCAUUGCUGCAUUCCUGGGAGGAGCUGCUGCUGAACAGGCUAUCAAAAUACUCACCAAACAAUUUGUAAUUUUUAAUAAUACUUAGAUUUAUAGUGGCAUGGCACAAACUUCUGCAACUUUCCAGUUGUAG
Otolemur garnettii (small-eared galago) is the source of this 1545-nucleotide RNA transcript. It is a transcript of the gene named NEDD8-activating enzyme E1 regulatory subunit pseudogene, with no coding region annotated. The record is from RefSeq and is a predicted model, not a curated record. Lineage: Eukaryota; Metazoa; Chordata; Mammalia; Primates; Galagidae. The transcript has a single exon.